Long non-coding RNA from Panicum virgatum (switchgrass), 1279 nucleotides. RefSeq lists it as uncharacterized. The transcript has 5 exons. The record is from RefSeq and is a predicted model, not a curated record. Lineage: Eukaryota; Viridiplantae; Streptophyta; Magnoliopsida; Poales; Poaceae.
GGCAGCCAGAGAUAGCCAUUCACUUGUUCCCGUCGCCCCGUUGGCCCCUCCAUUCUGGUUUUCCCCUUCUUCCUCCUUCACCUAGGGUUAGGAUUUUUGGAUGGAAAAUUAAACCUUGGAUCCAUGGGAAAGGAGGCCCUCCCUCCUAGUGCCCUCUGGGCGAUUGAGUUGAUUUGUUUCGCAUCUUGUACAUCUCGUUUUUGCUUGUAGUUUUUGGUUUCCUCUUGUUGGCGGUGCUAUGCAGGGGCGGCUCUGGUUUUGGCGCUGAUCCUUUGAGCAAGCAGCACUGCAGGGAGCAGGUGCUUGGCUUGGCCUGGUGCGGCACAGGUGAGCAGCAUCAGGUGGGGCGCCCUCCACGGCUGGUGAGGCAGUCCGGCGGCACUAGCAGCAGCAUCCAACAAGAAGGACGAGCGGCUCUGGAGCAGGCAGCAGCCGUGUUGCCUCUUGAUUUGUUUCUCUCUUGCAGGUCUGAGUCAUGCGUGCGUGGGAAAUUAGGAAGUGGAAAGCUGGCUUGUGAUUGCAGCUAACCGGACACCGCCCUGCGCCAGCCUCAAGUUGACGACCGGCAGCCUGCUGGAGAAAUAAGCAUCUGCAGCAGCAACACAGUGUCGAGUCUUCAUCAACACCCUUGUACGCCCAGCCGCACGCAGCAGUGAUGCUCUCAGAUGCAUAUCUUGCAGCAUUUACAACCACAGAUCCAAGUCAUGACUCAGAGAUACGCAAAGCGAAACAUACAUGUCUGGGCAUGCAGUCUGAUUCUUGCCGCAAUCUUCCCAGCUAGGCACUUGCUCCGACCAUUCUCCCUGCAGCGUGGAUGAAGUGUGUCGAUAUAAUCCGCGACACCAUCGCCGUAGAAGUCGUCCUCGGCCGUCUGGAUAAUGUUGGCGUCCCAAACCUGACAAAAUGGUGCAGAAAACCAAGUUCCAGCUCGAAGGUUCCUUCAGAAAUCAGAAUCAUGGCAGUGUUUGAUUAGCACGAGAAGUAUGCUUACAUGGUGCAAGACAGUCUUCCUUCUGUACCAGUGGACGUCGAUGGUGUUCCCUCCUCUGUCAGAGGUGAACCCCACAUGAAGUGGCUGUAAAAUACAGCAGCAGUUGAGUGUGCAGAGUACAGGACAACAGCUUGAGUGAUGAACUACAGAGCAGAUCACAAUGGGCAGGGCAGGGCACGGUAAUCUUGUUCUAGGAUUUUUCUACCUGGUGGAUGUCGCCGAUGAAGUGUGAAAGGAACAGAAGCGCUUGCGUCAGGUUAUCUGAACUCCAGAGAAAGUUUUUUUUUU